UGGAGGUCUCUAUAAAAGCCCUGUUGUAAAAACCUUGACCAUUAUAGUGCAUUUGCUUCUGGAUUGUGGAAGGACACUGGAUGUAGGCAUUGAGGCCGAACCAGUAUAAAAAUCUGUGUUUGAUUUCUCUAUCCCUACACUCUUACAUUAAGUCGACUUUACUGUUUUCAUAGUCAACUUUGUAAUUUCAGCUACACUUAGAAUUUUCAUUCCUUGUGAUUCAAGAAACUUUGUAAAGUUUUUAUACUUUGUGAAAAGGAUUUUGAAAAGACUCUGAUUUUGAAACCUCACUA
RNAcentral lists this long non-coding RNA (293 nucleotides) under Vigna radiata. RNAcentral's name for it is "long non-coding RNA (VRAD_LNC014077)". Lineage: Eukaryota; Viridiplantae; Streptophyta; Magnoliopsida; Fabales; Fabaceae. The record is from RNAcentral.